Molecule: ribosomal RNA, 253 nt
Filed under: uncultured bacterium
Lineage: Bacteria
Description: partial 16S ribosomal RNA
Rfam family: Bacterial small subunit ribosomal RNA
Source: RNAcentral
UACGGGGGGGGCAAGCGUUGUUCGGAAUUACUGGGCGUAGAGGGUUUGUAGGUGGCUUAUUAAGUCAGACGUGAAAUCCCUCAGCUUAACUGGGGAACUGCGUCUGAUACUGGUUGGCUCGAGUGCAGGAGAGGAACGCGGAAUUCCAGGUGUAGCGGUGAAAUGCGUAGAUAUCGGGAGGAACACCAAUGGCGAAGGCAGCUCGCUGGGACGGUACUGACGCUGAGGCGCGAAAGCGUGGGGAGCAAACAGG